GGUGGUUCUUGGGUGACGCAUCCCAGAAUCGGGCUCCCUCCUCUCUGAUUCCUGGUGCGUCACCCAAGACCCAUA
Molecule: non-coding RNA, 75 nt
Organism: Myotis brandtii (Brandt's bat)
Lineage: Eukaryota; Metazoa; Chordata; Mammalia; Chiroptera; Vespertilionidae
Source: Rfam